UCCGAUAAGGUCUAGCGGUUAGGAUUCCUGGCUUUCACCCAGGCGGCCCGGGUUCGACUCCCGGUAUCGGAA
RNAcentral lists this transfer RNA (72 nucleotides) under Lottia gigantea (owl limpet). RNAcentral's name for it is "tRNA-Glu for anticodon UUC". It matches the Rfam family "tRNA". Rfam says of the family: Transfer RNA (tRNA) molecules are approximately 80 nucleotides in length. Their secondary structure includes four short double-helical elements and three loops (D, anti-codon, and T loops). Further hydrogen bonds mediate the characteristic L-shaped molecular structure. tRNAs have two regions of fundamental functional importance: the anti-codon, which is responsible for specific mRNA codon recognition, and the 3' end, to which the tRNAs corresponding amino acid is attached (by aminoacyl-tRNA synthetases). tRNAs cope with the degeneracy of the genetic code in two manners: having more than one tRNA (with a specific anti-codon) for a particular amino acid; and 'wobble' base-pairing, i.e. permitting non-standard base-pairing at the 3rd anti-codon position. The record is from Rfam by way of RNAcentral. Lineage: Eukaryota; Metazoa; Mollusca; Gastropoda; Lottiidae.